GGAGCAUCGUUUCGGAGAAGAAUAAGCUGACCAUGACGGUGAAGGAAGACUGCCUCCCAUCUCCACGGAAACAGAGGUGCAGGGUUUUUCAGCGUAAACAAAACAGCAAGCGAAAGAGCGAAAGAUGCAAAGCUGAGUUCAAACUAUGGUCACUCUGCAUCAGUCAUGUCCGUCACCUCAGACGUGUGCAACAACCUGCAGGCAUCACAGCAUCUUCAGGGGGAAAAAAACAAGUCUUUCCACAUCUGGAAUAUUCACGCAGGUCUGAGAGAUGAGAGACGGGAGACGAGACGUUCGCUCGUCCCAGAGCUCUGGCUGCAGGGGCUUCAGACUGGUGUCUGGUGAUGGUGGAAUCGAUAUGCACUCAUCUGUCCUCCACAGCAGAUUAAUAUUUAUCUCACACAGUGUCAGGGGAGAUUUAUGCUGCUUCCACAACCAGAAUCUAAUCCAGGUGGAAGUGCAGUGGACGCUGAAGGCUCGGCCUCACCGUCUCAGACUCGGACUCAGAAUCAAACAAGUCCAAUAAAGCCAGUGAUUCAGUGAGGCGUAAUUUACAGCUGCUAUAAUGGAAGAUGACAUCACUGUAAAUUUGUAUAUACUGGUCUAAGGAGGCUGACUGGCGAGGCCAUGCCCUGGAACAAAUGCCACACCCCCUUCUUUACGACUGACUGGCACAGAGGCCACCCCUUCUUCUUUAGGGCUCAGCUUUUGAUAACGACACAUCAAUAAUUCAUCCAGAGGGACGGCACUAUGUGGGUCCGGCGUUAAUCAGCGGACACGUCGCUUUCUGAUGGACUUUUAUGAUGAAUAGGCAAAACGUUGGAUUAGUCUGAGCGACGAGAGUCAGAUGAAAAAGACAGUUUGGCGCCUCCCUCAUCGCUUAGUUUUCUAAUUCUGCUCCUGGCCGUCGUCCAACACGUCCCUCAAACCCGAGCUGGUGUGAAUGGUGCCAUCUUCUGGAUCUGCUGGAAGGAGGAUUUAAAAAAAAAAAUUUUUUUAGUGCUGGAUAAUAGGCUGGGCCAACACACACACACACACAUACACACACCAGGCACACACACACACACACACAUACAUACAUACAUACACAUACACACACACACCAGACACACACAUAUACAUAUACACACACACACACGCACCAUUCCGAUCUUUAAAACCUCCCUUAACUCUAAAUCAGAGGAAAAAAAAGAAUCUGGCAGAUUGUAAUUGGUGAUCCAAUUAUGUCUCUUUUUUUUCAGCAGGGAAAAGGGAAAAAAACCACACAUGGGCUAGCUUCCAGAACGUUCAGCGGAGGCGACGUGCAGCACGAGCCGGGCUCCAGUAGAGAGUUCUAAUAAAUGAGUGCGAUUCCCGGGGAACAGGUGGUGCGCUGUCUGCUGGAGCACAAGCAGCCGUAUUUACCUCUUCAACUCGCCCUGCCCAGAGCGCGCUCAACAUCUUAUUGCUUUUUAUUUAUAUCCAUAUGGAGGAGCACAUAUUUCAGCUCUAAAGUCUGGGAGCACUGAAAUGACAGCAUGUUUGGAUUUGUUGCAGUGAAAUGACUCAAUUAAACCCGACUCGUGGCGCUCGCAGAGCCGCAGCAGGUCCAGAAACAGCCAGAGGAAACGCCAGGCUGCAGCGCCGGUGGACAUGCGGCUCGUCUCGGCUCGUAACGCUGUGACGCCUCGUGGCUAAUAACCUAGCGUAAUCAGGGGACUGGCUAGAAGGGGCGGGGUUUAGAUUGCUCAUGGACGCGGGGCUGUUUCAGCCCUCCCCCAACUCAGUGCAUCUUUACAUAUACUCUGUAUUAUUUAUUUUUAUUUAUUUAUUUUUCC
Hemibagrus wyckioides is the source of this 1817-nucleotide long non-coding RNA. RefSeq lists it as uncharacterized. The record is from RefSeq and is a predicted model, not a curated record. The transcript has 4 exons. Lineage: Eukaryota; Metazoa; Chordata; Actinopteri; Siluriformes; Bagridae.